CUGAAUUUAUUAACACUUCGAAUGACGGGGAGAUUUGCUAAAUGGUUUUCAAUUUGUAUCUUAACGCCGCGAGACCACAUGCUCGGCGCAGAUUCGGCGCGACAGAUAUCGCGGUCGUACCUCGGCGGGCGAGAGUGCGUAUCUCUUACCCCCGCGGUUCGUACGAAAUGCCUCUUUAUCAUUGCGCUUAUUAUUACGAAUCUCUGUAACAGAGCGUCGCCGGGGGACGCCUAUGAAAUUGAAAUUCGGAAAGGAAGUUUAUUUUAUUGCGAGUCCCGCUAAUCAAUCGAAGGAAGUAAAAGCGCGAGCGCGUGCAUGUAUGAAUUGCGGGAUAAAUAAUCGCGUUGUAAGCUAUCAUAUAUAUUACUUAUUAUAUUAAUCUCUGUUAUUUAUAAUUUAUACUUUUGAUUUUAUAAUUAUUUCAUUAUUCCUGAUUAGUUUGAGAGUUUAAAUACCUAAAAUGUUGGAUUAAACAGAUUGUAUAUUAUUUUGAUUUAUACAAAUUUUAUUUUAUCUGAUUGUCAGUAACUUAUCUUUUUACGGGAUUUACUGAUAGACAAUUGAUAGAAUCGACGACCAACUCUGACUAUACUACUUUAUAAUUACUUAUGGAGAUAUAGUUAUACAUUAUUAUAUAUUAGCAAAAAUUAAAAUUAAUUUAAAAUUUUGAAUAUAUUUGAAGGAAAGAUGAUAAAAUAUAAAAAAAAUUGUUUACAAUCUGAGGAAAGAAACUGAAAUAAAAACGUGCAGCCUCAUGUAAUAUGCGAGUACUUGAGAAAUCAAUAUCUUACUUACAUCGGCAGUAUAUUUAUUUUAAAAGAUUAGUUCUAGAAGAGAGAGAGAGAUGGAUAUUAUUUAUAGAUUCAAAUUAUCAUUACUUGUUAAAUAAUACGACAAAAAUAAUUCUCGCAAUUCUUCAUAAUCAAUAAUAAUGAUGACACAAUCAAUUUAACGUGACAUAUUUUGUCAUUAAUAAAAAAUUCGAUCCAUCCUACUUUUUCAUGUUAUAAUAAUUGUAACGUGAUAAUCAGUAUAAAUGAUUUCUCGGAUUUCUUAAUUUUGCGAUGGUUGAGUUUUCAACGAAUGUCUGCCAGCGAAGUAUGAACGCGACAUUCUUAAUGCCACCAUAGAAAGUACCAUGAGAUAUUUCCUGUGCAGUGACGCGUAUUAUUUUCCUGAGGUGUGAAUGUAUUUUAUAGUGUCAAAUGCAGUAUACAGAGGUAUGCGGAGGUUAGACUUUUAGUCUUUAUAGUCGAUAAAAUAUUUAAAUUUAAUACAAAAAAUUACUUAAAAUAUAAUAUAAUAAAAAGAAUUCAAUUACAUUCAAUAUUUCUAAUUUCUAUAGAUUCUAAAAAUUUUUUUUCAACUUGGAAAAUAUAAAAAUAAAUAUUGAGAUAAAACUUGAUUCUGAUUAAUAAACUGAGAUGUUUGAAAUAGUCCAGACAACGUGUACGAAUCUGCAAUGAAUUGAUACGCCAGGUAUUGAUGUGCUCGUACACAGGUAUAGUGGAGACAUUAGUUUUCUUAAAGACGGACGCUUCGGCGCGCGAAAAGUCACGUCGUUGCAGUUUGAAGCUCCGGGCUUCCGCGAGCGAGCUUCCUUUAAUUCUAGCCGUAGCCUAUUUCUAGAGUAUCAGCAGGGGCCGUCCAUUGGACGGCGAGGAUAUUCGGAUGCAUCGCGUGGGAUGCUCGUAAUUUCCCGGGUAAGCUCCGGCAAAUUAGCUCCGGGCAUACGUUACUCUCGCCUUAGUUGUCCCUCUCCUGCGCUUCUUAGUCCUCCCUACCGUUGUUCUCCUUUAUCGCCCCUCUCGGAGAAAACCCGGCUUUUCUCGUAGCGAGCCAGCCCGCCUCGGCAGCCGUCUCUCCCGCGCGCUUUCUUCCUCUCCGCCACCCCUCUCAGUCCACCCUCCCACACCUCGGAUAAACGCGUACACGCUCGCGGAAACACGAGCCGUUCCGUGUGCCCGUCGUAAGGUGGCGAGGCUCGUUCUUACCUCGAAAAAGCUCUCGGAUAGAAAGAGAGAGAGCCCCCCAUCCGAAGGUGGGGGGAUACGCCGUCCUGGACGUAGGACGAGCGCGCCGGUCUUCGUGGGUUCGACACGAAAGCUCCGUUAGUAGGCGUGCCGCUCAAGCUCCGCCCGCAAGCUCGUGGGUGCACGCCCAGGGAACAGGGCUUUACCAUCCGGUGCUUUGUCGACCCUGGCAAACCACCCUGCCAAGGGCCACCGCGCCCGAUAACGUUAACCCCCGCGCAGCCCUCUCGCGUCCCCGAGACGCGACCUAGGGCGCGCGGUCCUUCUUCCACUCGCGGCUUGAAACUCCCUGGACCCCCCCCCCCUCCUCCCCCCUUUGUCCCUCCGCUCCUCGUUUCCUCUUCCCUUCUUCCGGUUCGGCGACGUACCCACCCAUGGCCCUCCGUCGUAGGAGUUGCAACUUUAGACCGCUUUGCACACAGAUUGCAUCAGAGCCAUCCGCGGAUGCAAUCGUUACCCCACUGUCGUGUUUCCACCCCCGUCGUCUUUCUCCCACGGAAGCGGCGCGCGAGCGCGUGUACGUGUGCGUACGCGUGUGUGUCCUGGUAUACGUUAGAGGAAUAGCUGACGCCGGUUCUCCGUGUUGGCGAAACGAAGAAUGCACCGCCGGACUGCGACGGGGAAGUUGAAGACGAAGCUCUUGAUUACGAUGCUUUAUUGGAUUCGGUGUCGUAAUCAGCGAUGCGGGAUUAGGUGACGGGUAUAUUGACCAAUAACGUUCAGCGAGAAUGAGCGAUUUACGAAGCACUUAAUACGCAUACUACAUUUAACAAUUGUGUUGUAUGUAAAUGUUAAAAAUAGGAAAGAAUAUAAAUGAAAGCGUUAGAUUAAUUUUUUUUAAAUUUAUUUGCAAGAUCUUGAACGAAUUUUGGCGUUUAAACAAAAUGUUAAAAGCUGCACGAUGACUAAUCGAACUCGAGUUGCAGUAGAAUGGAUCAGAACGGAUUAAGACGUAACGGUAGGAUAAGAUACAGAUGGGUUUUGUGACGCGUCUGGUUACCGUCUAUCCCCGCGAAAUAAAGCGCUCGGAUGUGGCGAGUGUAAAAUGCUGUAACGGCGAACGAAAUCUCUCUAGACUCUUAGUCUGUCGAGACGAAUUUGUCUUGGAGAUUUACACCAAGAUUUUCGGUGGUACGCGCGACAGGCACGUGUCAUAGCAAAUGUGUGUUUAAAGAAUGAAUAAUAAAUGAGACCAAAAAUACAUAAGAAAAAGGGAAACAUUUGAAAACGAGUAUAAUUCUAAAUUAGGUCAUCGACGAGCUUCAAACGACUUUACAAUUUUGCAAAAAAAAAAAAAAAAAA
RNAcentral lists this long non-coding RNA (3335 nucleotides) under Monomorium pharaonis (pharaoh ant). RNAcentral describes it as "uncharacterized LOC118646648". The record is from RNAcentral. Lineage: Eukaryota; Metazoa; Arthropoda; Insecta; Hymenoptera; Formicidae.